Phascolarctos cinereus (koala) is the source of this 2034-nucleotide non-coding RNA. NCBI's taxonomy places the organism in Eukaryota, Metazoa, Chordata, Mammalia, Diprotodontia, Phascolarctidae. The record is from RefSeq and is a predicted model, not a curated record.
AGCUGUGUGACCCUGGGCAAGUCACUUAACCCAAACUGCCUUGCCAAAAAAAAAAAAAGGGAAAUGGCUAACCCUGGAGGAAGCAUGUUCCCCCUCACAUUGUGGUCUGCAGGCAAAGGUUGAUUUGCAAAACAUACUAUUUGGAGGGGGGAGCAUUUUUCCUUUCCUAGGUAUAGGUUGGUCUAGAUCAGGCUUCUUAAACUGUGGUUGCCACCUCACAUGGGUCAUGAAAAAUUUGGCAAGAGCAAAAGGUUUCUGAACCUUUCUGAACACUGAAGCCUUGGUUCUGAACACAAAGCAGGUGCACUUUGCAUUUGGCAAAAAGGGGUUGUGAGUGGAAAAAGUUUAAGAAGUCCUGGUGUAGAUGACCUCUAAGGUCUCUUUUAAUUUUCAGAUUCUAUGAAACCCUAAGAAUUUGUUGUGUAUGAUGCUUGAGCAGUCUACAGAGCUUAGAUAAGCACUCUCCUAAAGGGAUAUAGGUCAGCAAUAGUGUCCUAGAAUCAGAAAACGGACAGGGACGUUAGAGAUCCCCUCUUGUCCAAUUAGGAAACUGGGGCCUGCAGGAGGGAAGCAAUUGAACAUGCUCCACAGUUUUGUUUUUUAAAUGAAAGAGCUGGCCUAGAGCUGAAUUUGCCUUGAAAAUCCAAAUUUAUCCCAGCUCUUUACCAGAAACUGGUUUAGAAGCUUAUGCAUGAUAAAUCGGUCCCUACAGGAUACUGUCUUCUUUUAUUCUAGAGAUCAGUGGGCCAGCUUAAGCGGUCACUUAUUCCUGAUGUAGUACACAGAAGAAAGAGCAACAGAUUUGGGGUUCAAAUCAUAGCCUCUAUUUAGUACCUGUAUGGUUUGGGGGGAAAGUCAAACACUUGGGCUUCUCAUCUUCAAAAUAAGGGAGCUGACCAGAGGACCUUAGAUUCCUUCCUGCUCCAAAUCCUAUAUAUGCACCCAAGCUUUAAUCUCAAUCAACAAAUUUUAAAAGAUGCAGGCUUGAGUGACACUUUUUGUUCUUAUGAAUAAUUAUAGCAUGUGAAGUUGGUCAUCAUUAUCUAAUUUACAACCCUUUUUUGGUCCUUCUUGGGCACCAAAAUUAGAUAAUGUUAAAUAGGAUUUCAAACACAUUCUGCCUGAAAGAGGGCCAACAUCCCUUCAAGAAAGUAUAUGAUCCUUAUAAAUUUCCCCUGAGGAUUUCAUAACACACAUAAAUAACUACAAUACAAAAUAAUGCCUAUCUGAGUACCAAAGUAAAAACAAAAUGUUGUGUGUGAGGUCUGAAAGCAGUAGAAGUUGUUAUUACUGGGAGAUUAAGGAAGGCUUCGUGGAGGAGGCAGUAUUUGAAUUGAACUAGGAAAAGUUUCCAGGAAUAUGAAACAGGGUAAACAAUAGCAUGGAGGCAAGAAAAAGGGGAUGUGUACAAUGGUAAAGGAGUAGUUUGGUUUGACAGUAGAGAACCAGACAAGGGCAAGGCUGUUUGUGGUACCAAAUUCGCAGGGGCCUUGAAUCCCAGGCAAAGAUCUUUGAAUUUUCCUUAGUCUGCACUAGGAAAACAGUGGAGGAGUCUGAGAAUAGGACCAAAUCUCUUUAUAAAAUUAACCUGGGGGCAGCUAGGUUUUGGGGGCUAUUUAAAAUUGUAAAAGCAUUUCCAAAUUUCCUGUGUCUGGGGAGGGUUUAAUCAUUUGGUCAACACAGUUCACAAUCCAGAGCAGCAUUAUCCAAACUGAUACUGGUCACCUGAAUUAGGAGUACACAUACCUGCAAGAAGAAAACUACCUCCCUCUAAGGAAUAAGUGUACCUUGAAAAUCUAAACCUUAUUCUAAGAAAAGCCACACUGCUUAAUAAGUACUAGAAGAAUGAAGCAUUUGCUAGGCCACACUCACAGUUAAGAUUACUUUGCAUGACCUAAUUUAAUCCCAAAACAAGAAGUCAAUGAAUAAAUGUGACCAACGUGAGACAAAAUACUUAAUGAGCAUUGCUACCAUGAGUUUGAUUACCUAUUACAUACACACACACACACACACACACACACACACACACACACA